RNAcentral lists this long non-coding RNA (327 nucleotides) under Nicotiana benthamiana. RNAcentral describes it as "long non-coding RNA (NBEN_LNC031498)". Lineage: Eukaryota; Viridiplantae; Streptophyta; Magnoliopsida; Solanales; Solanaceae. The record is from RNAcentral.
UUAUUAUUUAUUGGGAAGAGACCGAAUCACUGCCUGAACCUGGUGCUCAUCAAAGAGAACAUGACCAGCACUUUUGAGUUGAGAAAUCAUAUUUGACAUCACCCGCAUAUGUUUCUUGAGACCGUGAUCAUGACAUUUUUUGUAUGCGUCAAAUUUGAUUGUCAGCUGACGAAGGCUGUGGCGGGGAACCACGACCACCUGUAGUACCUUGUGAAACCUGUAGGGCUGACAGAAAGAGCCUCUAAGGAUAGCCUCUACCAUAUGAAUCCCUACAUACAGAUGAGGUACCAUUGAAGCUAUCAGAAUGACAAGGCCUCUUGUCUGACC